RNAcentral lists this ribosomal RNA (708 nucleotides) under Triticum aestivum (bread wheat). RNAcentral describes it as "partial small subunit ribosomal RNA". Lineage: Eukaryota; Viridiplantae; Streptophyta; Magnoliopsida; Poales; Poaceae. The record is from RNAcentral.
AUGGAGCAACUAGCCAAGUGCAGGGGCAUCCCAGCUUGGGCGGCGGCGUACGCCAGCGAUCCAUCCUCGUCCUCAUGGGAGGAGCGGGCCUUCGCACGCGAUGCCGCGGCCGACCUGCUGGUGUGGCCGCCGCGCUCCUACUCCUGCACCUUCUGCCAACGCGAUUUCCGGUCGGCCCAGGCGCUCGGCGGCCACAUGAAUGUGCACCGCCGAGACAGGGCACGUCUCCGUCAUGGCGACGACGACCAAGCCCGACAAGAACAAGCUGAUGAACCGCACCAGGACGACUCUACCAGUGCCAUGUACAAGCAGCUAGAGCUAUUCCGUAACCCUAGUACCACCACUCCUUCCCACCUAUCAACCAUCAUCAAGGAGAGGAAUAACAACAAGGUCGUCGUCUCCAUAGCAGUGAGAGAUCAAGAAGCUGCAGAUCACCAAUACAAUGACAGACAGGAUUUGGAAUUGUCGGGGAGGAGGAAGAGGAGGCGUGUAGAUCAGGCGCCGGUGGCGCUUGCUUCGCCAUAUGGACAAGGAGCCUUCCUUGAUCAUUCCAAGGUAAUUAUGGAAACAAUCGCAAACCCUAGUAGUUCUAGUCUUAAUCCCCACGUGGAUCAAGGAGAAGUAGAUCUGUUCCUCAAGAAGCAAGGACUGGUAGAUCUAGAGCUUAGGCUUGGGAUUAAUCCAAAUGUUGCAUCACACGCAACUUAG